This 102-nucleotide ribosomal RNA is filed under the name Serratia liquefaciens. Lineage: Bacteria; Pseudomonadati; Pseudomonadota; Gammaproteobacteria; Enterobacterales; Yersiniaceae. RNAcentral also lists the same sequence under 5 other names. The record is from RNAcentral.
CGCGGUGGUCCCACCUGACCCCAUGCCGAACUCAGAAGUGAAACGCCGUAGCGCCGAUGGUAGUGUGGGGUCUCCCCAUGCGAGAGUAGGACACUGCCAAGC